Molecule: microRNA, 25 nt
Filed under: Bombyx mori (domestic silkworm)
Lineage: Eukaryota; Metazoa; Arthropoda; Insecta; Lepidoptera; Bombycidae
Description: bmo-miR-3272
Source: miRBase by way of RNAcentral
UAAACAGUUAUCUAAAUGUGAGUCA